UAGGGAAUCUUCGGCAAUGGACGGAAGUCUGACCGAGCAACGCCGCGUGAGUGAAGAAGGUUUUCGGAUCGUAAAGCUCUGUUGUAAGAGAAGAACGAGUGUGAGAGUGGAAAGUUCACACUGUGACGGUAACUUACCAGAAAGGGACGGCUAACUACGUGCCAGCAGCCGCGGUAAUACGUAGGUCCCGAGCGUUAUCCGGAUUUAUUGGGCGUAAAGCGAGCGCAGGCGGUUAGAUAAGUCUGAAGUUAAAGGCUGUGGCUUAACCAUAGUACGCUUUGGAAACUGUUUAACUUGAGUGCAAGAGGGGAGAGUGGAAUUCCAUGUGUAGCGGUGAAAUGCGUAGAUAUAUGGAGGAACACCGGUGGCGAAAGCGGCUCUCUGGCUUGUAACUGACGCUGAGGCUCGAAAGCGUGGGGAGCAAACAGGAUUAGAUACCCUGGUAGUCCACGCCGUAAACGAUGAGUGCUAGGUGUUAGACCCUUUCCGGGGUUUAGUGCCGCAGCUAACGCAUUAAGCACUCCGCCUGGGGAGUACGACCGCAAGGUUG
RNAcentral lists this ribosomal RNA (550 nucleotides) under uncultured bacterium. Its description in RNAcentral is "bacterial SSU rRNA". It matches the Rfam family "Bacterial small subunit ribosomal RNA", at positions 355 to 896 of the family's 1533-position model. The record is from RNAcentral.